This 225-nucleotide ribosomal RNA is filed under the name uncultured bacterium. RNAcentral's name for it is "partial 16S ribosomal RNA". It matches the Rfam family "Bacterial small subunit ribosomal RNA", at positions 111 to 334 of the family's 1533-position model. The record is from RNAcentral.
UAACGCGUGAGCAAUCUGCCUUUAGGAGGGGGAUAACAGUCGGAAACGGCUGCUAAUACCGCAUAAUGUGUGUCCUUCGCAUGUUGGAUAUACCAAAGGAGCAAUCCGCCUUUAGAUGAGCUCGCGUCUGAUUAGCUAGUUGGCGGGGUAACGGCCCACCAAGGCGACGAUCAGUAGCCGGACUGAGAGGUUGAACGGCCACAUUGGGACUGAGACACGGCCCAG